GACGAACGCUGGCGGCGUGCCUAAUACAUGCAAGUCGAGCGCAGGAAAUCGACGGAACCCUUCGGGGGGAAGUCGACGGAAUGAGCGGCGGACGGGUGAGUAACACGUAAAGAACCUGCCCUCAGGUCUGGGAUAACCACGAGAAAUCGGGGCUAAUACCGGAUGGGUCAUCGGACCGCAUGGUCCGAGGAUGAAAGGCGCUUCGGCGUCGCCUGGGGAUGGCUUUGCGGUGCAUUAGCUAGUUGGUGGGGUAAUGGCCCACCAAGGCGACGAUGCAUGGCCGACCUGAGAGGGUGAUCGGCCACACUGGGACUGCGACACGGCCCAGACUCCUACGGGAGGCAGCAGUAGGGAAUCUUCCACAAUGGACGAAAGUCUGAUGGAGCAACGCCGCGUGAACGAUGAAGGCCUUCGGGUCGUAAAGUUCUGUUGUAAGGGAAGAACAAGUGCCGCAGGCAAUGGCGGCACCUUGACGGUACCUUGCGAGAAAGCCACGGCUAACUACGUGCCAGCAGCCGCCGUAA
RNAcentral lists this ribosomal RNA (524 nucleotides) under uncultured bacterium. RNAcentral describes it as "partial 16S ribosomal RNA". It matches the Rfam family "Bacterial small subunit ribosomal RNA", at positions 28 to 523 of the family's 1533-position model. The record is from RNAcentral.